GACGAACGCUGGCGGCGUGCUUAACACAUGCAAGUCGAACGGAAAGGCCCUGCUUUUGUGGGGUGCUCGAGUGGCGAACGGGUGAGUAACACGUGAGUAACCUGCCCUUGACUUUGGGAUAACUUCAGGAAACUGGGGCUAAUACCGGAUAGGAGCUCCUGCUGCAUGGUGGGGGUUGGAAAGUUUCGGCGGUUGGGGAUGGACUCGCGGCUUAUCAGCUUGUUGGUGGGGUAGUGGCUUACCAAGGCUUUGACGGGUAGCCGGCCUGAGAGGGUGACCGGCCACAUGGGGACUGAGAUACGGCCCAGACUCCUACGGGAGGCAGCAGUGGGGAAUAUUGCACAAUGGGCGGAAGCCUGAUGCAGCAACGCCGCGGGCGGGAUGACGGCCUUCGGGUUGUAAACCGCUGUCGCCUGUGACGAAGCGUGAGUGACGGUAAUGGGUAAAGAAGCACCGGCUAACUACGUG
Molecule: ribosomal RNA, 468 nt
Filed under: uncultured bacterium
Lineage: Bacteria
Description: partial 16S ribosomal RNA
Rfam family: Bacterial small subunit ribosomal RNA
Source: RNAcentral